AUGGCGGAACGGGCCAAUCUGGUCUUUCAUAAUAAAGAGAUAGACGGAACUGGUAUGAAACGACUUAUUAGCAGAUUAAUAGAUCAUUUUGGAAUGGGAUAUACAUCUCAUAUACUGGAUCAACUAAAGACUCUGGGCUUCCAUCAAGCCACUACUACAUCGAUUUGGUUAGGAAUCGAGGAUCUUUUAACAAUACCCUCUAAGGGAUGGUUAGUCCAAGACGCGGAACAACAGAGUUUUCUUUUGGAGAAACACUAUUAUUAUGGGGCUGUACACGCGGUAGAAAAAUUACGCCAAUCUGUUUAGAUAUGGUAUGCGACAAGUGAAUAUUUGAAACAAGAAACGAAUUCAAUUUUUCGGAUAACGGAUCCUUCUAAUCCAGUCUAUCUAAUGUCUUUUUCAGGAGCCAGAGGAAAUGCAUCUCAAGUACACCAAUUAGUAGGUAUGAGAGGAUUAAUGUCGGACCCUCAAGGACAAAUGAUUGAUUUACCUAUUCAAAGCAAUUUACGUGAGGGACUUUCUUUGACAAAAUAUAUAAUUUCUUGCUAUGGAGCCCGCAAAGGGGUUGUAGAUACUGCUGUGCGAACAACAGAUGCUGGAUAUCUUACACGUAGACUUGUUGAAGUAGUUCAACAUAUUAUUGUGCAUAGAAGAGAUUGUGGUACUAUCCGAGGUAUUUCUGUAAGUCCUCAAAAUGGGAUGACGGAAAAACUUUUCGUCCAAACACUAAUUGGUCGUGUAUUAGCAGACGAUAUA
RNAcentral lists this ribosomal RNA (756 nucleotides) under Triticum aestivum (bread wheat). RNAcentral's name for it is "partial small subunit ribosomal RNA". Lineage: Eukaryota; Viridiplantae; Streptophyta; Magnoliopsida; Poales; Poaceae. The record is from RNAcentral.